RNAcentral lists this ribosomal RNA (207 nucleotides) under uncultured bacterium. RNAcentral's name for it is "partial 16S ribosomal RNA". It matches the Rfam family "Bacterial small subunit ribosomal RNA", at positions 568 to 774 of the family's 1533-position model. The record is from RNAcentral.
UACGUAGGGGGUUCGGUAAGUCAGGUGUGAAAUCCCGGGGCUCAACCCCGGAACUGCACCCGAUACUGCCGGACUUGAGUAAUGGAGAGGCAGGUGGAAUUCUCGGUGUAGCAGUGAAAUGCGUGGAUAUCGAGAGGAAGACCAAUGGCGAAGGCAGCCUGCUGGACAUUUACUGACGCUGAGGUACGAAGGCCAGGGGAGCGAAAG